ACGUAGGGUGCGAGCGUUAAUCGGAAUUACUGGGCGUAAAGCGUGCGCAGGCGGUUUGUUAAGUUCGUCGUGAAAGCCCCGGGCUCAACCUGGGAACUGCGAUGGAAACUGGCAAGCUUGAGUGUGGCAGAGGGGGGUGGAAUUCCGCGUGUAGCAGUGAGAUGCGUAGAGAUCGGGAAGAACACCGAUGGCGAAGGCAGUCGGCUGGGCCGUUGCUGAC
Molecule: ribosomal RNA, 220 nt
Filed under: uncultured prokaryote
Description: partial 16S ribosomal RNA
Rfam family: Bacterial small subunit ribosomal RNA
Source: RNAcentral